UACGUAGGGACCGAGCGUUGUCCGGAAUCAUUGGGCGUAAAGAGCGUGUAGGCGGCCAACUAAGUCCUGCGUGAAAUCUCGGGGCUCAACCCCGAGCGGUCGUGGGAAACUGGUUGGCUAGAGUGCGGGAGAGGAGAGUGGAAUUCCUGGUGUAGCGGUGAAAUGCGCAGAUAUCAGGAGGAACACCGGCGGCGAAGGCGGCACUCUGGGCCGGUACUGACGCUGAGGAGCGAAAGCGUGGGUAGCAAACAGG
RNAcentral lists this ribosomal RNA (253 nucleotides) under uncultured bacterium. RNAcentral describes it as "partial 16S ribosomal RNA". It matches the Rfam family "Bacterial small subunit ribosomal RNA", at positions 524 to 776 of the family's 1533-position model. The record is from RNAcentral.